AUGAACGCUGGCGGCGUGCCUAAUACAUGCAAGUCGAGCGAACGGACGAGAAGCUUGCUUUUCUGAUGUUAGCGGCGGACGGGUGAGUAACACGUGGAUAACCUACCUAUAAGACUGGGAUAACUUCGGGAAACCGGAGCUAAUACCGGAUAAUAUUUUGAACCGCAUGGUUCAAAAGUGAAAGACGGUCUUGCUGUCACUUAUAGAUGGAUCCGCGCUGCAUUAGCUAGUUGGUAAGGUAACGGCUUACCAAGGCAACGAUGCAUAGCCGACCUGAGAGGGUGAUCGGCCACACUGGAACUGAGACACGGUCCAGACUCCUACGGGAGGCAGCAGUAGGGAAUCUUCCGCAAUGGGCGGAAGCCUGACGGAGCAACGCCGCGUGAGUGAUGAAGGUCUUCGGAUCGUAAAACUCUGUUAUUAGGGAAGAACAUAUGUGUAAGUAACUGUGCACAUCUUGACGGUACCUAAUCAGAAAGCCACGGCUAACUACGUG
RNAcentral lists this ribosomal RNA (496 nucleotides) under uncultured bacterium. RNAcentral's name for it is "partial 16S ribosomal RNA". It matches the Rfam family "Bacterial small subunit ribosomal RNA", at positions 29 to 507 of the family's 1533-position model. The record is from RNAcentral.